RNAcentral lists this long non-coding RNA (202 nucleotides) under Elaeis guineensis (African oil palm). RNAcentral describes it as "long non-coding RNA (EGUI_LNC008576)". The record is from RNAcentral. Lineage: Eukaryota; Viridiplantae; Streptophyta; Magnoliopsida; Arecales; Arecaceae.
UGCCUAUAGGUCACUUCCCUUCAAGAAUGGUGUUCAUGCAGCAAAAUCUCUAGGGCCGGCUUUUCAUCUCCCUCUUUUGCUUUACGUCGUCAUAAAAUAGGGCAGACAACUCAGAUAGAUUUAAACCAGAGUUGGAUUAGGAUAGGAGAAGGAAUCGUGCCUAAAUAAAGUAAUAAUCUUGUUAUUAGUUCCACCAGUUGAG